GAUCAUGGCUCAGGAUGAACGCUAGCGACAGGCCUAACACAUGCAAGUCGAGGGGCAGCGAAGAGGUAGCAAUACCUUUGUCGGCGACCGGCGCACGGGUGAGUAACACGUAUGCAAUCCACCUGUAACAGGGGGAUAACCCGGAGAAAUCCGGACUAAUACCCCAUAAUAUGGGCUCUCCGCAUGGAGGGUUCAUUAAAGAGAGCAAUUUUGGUUACAGACGAGCAUGCGCUCCA
Molecule: ribosomal RNA, 236 nt
Filed under: uncultured bacterium
Lineage: Bacteria
Description: partial 16S ribosomal RNA
Rfam family: Bacterial small subunit ribosomal RNA
Source: RNAcentral